AACGAACGCUGGCGGCGUGCCUAACACAUGCAAGUCGUGCGAGAAAGUUCCUUCGGGAGCGAGUAAAGCGGCGCACGGGUGAGUAACACGUAGGUAACCUGCCCCCCAGUCUGGAACAACUAGAGGAAACUCUAGCUAAUGCCGGAUGAGACCACGAUCCCUUCGGGGGUUGCGGCCAAAGAUGGCCUCUACUUGUAAGCUAUCGCUGAGGGAUGGGCCUGCGGGCCAUUAGCUUUGUUGGUGAGGUAACGGCUCACCAAGGCUGUGAUGGCUAGCUGGUCUGAGAGGAUGACCAGCCACACUGGGACUGAGACACGGCCCAGACUCCUACGGGAGGCAGCAGUGGGGACUAUUGCGCAAUGGGCGAAAGCCUGACGCAGCGACGCCGCGUGGGUGAUGAAGGCC
This 405-nucleotide ribosomal RNA is filed under the name uncultured bacterium. RNAcentral describes it as "bacterial SSU rRNA". It matches the Rfam family "Bacterial small subunit ribosomal RNA", at positions 29 to 416 of the family's 1533-position model. The record is from RNAcentral.